RNAcentral lists this small nucleolar RNA (142 nucleotides) under Dasypus novemcinctus (nine-banded armadillo). RNAcentral's name for it is "Small nucleolar RNA SNORA8 (ENSDNOG00000028034.1)". It matches the Rfam family "Small nucleolar RNA SNORA8". Rfam says of the family: ACA8 is a member of the H/ACA class of snoRNA that guide the sites of modification of uridines to pseudouridines. The record is from RNAcentral. Lineage: Eukaryota; Metazoa; Chordata; Mammalia; Cingulata; Dasypodidae.
UGCACUGUGUGGUAUCUGCAUUCCACAUUUUUUUUUCCCUGCUGGGGUGUUCAAAUGACAGUGCUAUAGAAAUUCAGUAUCUGGCAUCAUUGGUUUUCUUGGCUUUGUGCAUAUUAAACCUGGUAUUUCUGCCAAUACAAUA